CUCACACUCCCAUCGCAUCCAACAAUUUCAUUGGAUCGAGCAAUUGGUCAUGGCGUUCAACAGCGCUCAACUGCUUGCUGCCUUCUCCUUGGCCCUGCUCCUCAUUUCCUCCGGUGCUGCGCUGAAAGAUUGCGCCCGUAUUGAUAUUGGUGAAUGCAACCAACAUAAAUGCAUUACAGCCUGCAUCAAAUUAAACUUCAAUACGGCUAUCUGCGAUAAUGACGCAACCAGCAAAGACAGCGGAGGAGACGUUUCCUUGAACGAGAUGGGGUUAUAUGGGUCGUGCGUGUGUUGUUAGAUUUUAUUUUAUGGGCUUCCUCUUCUUAAAAUUGUAAACCUUGCCCUGUCAGAUAAUAAAAAUCCAAGGACUCUUCUGGCUCGAAUUUGAUUUC
Long non-coding RNA from Triticum dicoccoides, 392 nucleotides. RefSeq lists it as uncharacterized. The transcript is spliced from 2 exons. The record is from RefSeq and is a predicted model, not a curated record. Lineage: Eukaryota; Viridiplantae; Streptophyta; Magnoliopsida; Poales; Poaceae.